ACCUCGGUUGAAGAUAUUCUUUUAUGUAUGAAACGAAAUGUUGAUUGUCCGCUAUUGCAAGAGGCAACUCAGCACCAACAACAAGUUUCACCAUUUUCGGUCAAACAUUCUCCUCUGAAUACAUCUAUGUGGUGAGGGACGAAGUCAUAGAAUCGACACCCGGAAUACCAAAUUGUACUUGUGUUUGAUCGGUUUGAAGAAGUCCAUGUUUGAUCGCACACGUUUUAUAUUGAUGUUUGAGAUGAGUGGUACCAAUACCUUUUUACCAUGCCAAUCGUUGUAGACAAUAUUUACAUACUUUUUUGGACUCUAGG
RNAcentral lists this long non-coding RNA (314 nucleotides) under Olea europaea (common olive). RNAcentral's name for it is "long non-coding RNA (OEUR_LNC003742)". The record is from RNAcentral. Lineage: Eukaryota; Viridiplantae; Streptophyta; Magnoliopsida; Lamiales; Oleaceae.